RNAcentral lists this ribosomal RNA (254 nucleotides) under uncultured bacterium. Its description in RNAcentral is "partial 16S ribosomal RNA". It matches the Rfam family "Bacterial small subunit ribosomal RNA", at positions 524 to 776 of the family's 1533-position model. The record is from RNAcentral.
UACGUAGGGUGCGAGCGUUGUCCGGAAUUAUUGGGCGUAAAGAGCUCGUAGGCGGUGUGUCACGUCGGCCGUGAAAACCUGCAGCUUAACUGUGGGCGUGCGGUCGAUACGGGCAUCACUGGAGUUCGGCAGAGGGAAGUGGAAUUUCGGGUGUAGCGGUGAAAUGCGUAGAUAUCCGAAGGAACAUCAGUGGCGAAAGCGACUUCCUGGACCAGAACUGACGAUCAGGCACGAAAGCGUGGGGAGCAAACAGG